RNAcentral lists this small RNA (192 nucleotides) under Pseudomonas sp. SJZ131. RNAcentral's name for it is "Pseudomonas sRNA P16". It matches the Rfam family "RgsA sRNA". Rfam says of the family: P16 sRNA appears to be conserved across several Pseudomonas species and Azotobacter vinelandii. In these species it is consistently located downstream of a predicted TatD deoxyribonuclease gene. P16 has a predicted Rho independent terminator at the 3' end but the function of P16 is unknown. Lineage: Bacteria; Pseudomonadati; Pseudomonadota; Gammaproteobacteria; Pseudomonadales; Pseudomonadaceae. The record is from RNAcentral.
UCCGAAGCGCGCGUAUUCCAAAUUUGUUUAAAAACCACGGCGGCUAAACUGGCGCCAGCGCAAUACUGAUCAAUACUUGAACUGUCGGCGAGGCAUCUCCCCCAAGUGCAGCGCCGAUAUUGGUACCAACGGACCGCGUACCUUUGUUUUACUCCUAAUGGUCUUAACCCGGAUUCACCCCCCAGAACCCGG